GCCAGUGUGAUGUAGUGGUUUGAAUGUUGGACUACAACUCUGGAGAUGAGGGUUCAAAUCCCAGCUCUGCCA
This is a non-coding RNA of Phrynosoma platyrhinos (Desert horned lizard), 72 nucleotides long. Lineage: Eukaryota; Metazoa; Chordata; Lepidosauria; Squamata; Phrynosomatidae. The record is from the annotation of a GenBank genome assembly.